GGCCCGGUGGCGGAAGUGUACACGCGGGGGUGAUGCAACGCUCCUCAUCCUGGUUCGAGUCCAGGCUGGGCCUCCA
RNAcentral lists this transfer RNA (76 nucleotides) under Hyphomicrobiales bacterium. RNAcentral's name for it is "Rhizobiales bacterium (bioreactor metagenome) tRNA-OTHER". The record is from RNAcentral. RNAcentral also lists the same sequence under 1 other name. Lineage: Bacteria; Pseudomonadati; Pseudomonadota; Alphaproteobacteria; Hyphomicrobiales.